Molecule: long non-coding RNA, 839 nt
Organism: Oxyura jamaicensis (ruddy duck)
Lineage: Eukaryota; Metazoa; Chordata; Aves; Anseriformes; Anatidae
Exons: 2
Source: RefSeq, a predicted model, not a curated record
UCACAUUCAGGUAGGCCUAGUGGAGCACCUGAGCUGUGCCUGGAGAGCCCAUCCCACCCGCUCCUUGGGGCUCCACGUUGACUUCAGGCCCUCUGCAUGGGGCAGCUGCUGGGAAAAUCUGGAGAGGAGAUGAGUUGGAUUGGAGAUAUCAGACCUAGACUGGAAGAAGAACAACAAAGGUGACCCAUCUGAAUUACAGUUUUUUUUUUUUUUUUCCUUUGCCUUCAUCUGUUUAAUGCCUCCUCCUGCUUUGGCCUGGAAGAAGGAGAAUUUCCCAGAGCAGUGAAUUGCUGACUGAAUGCUCUCUUCCACUUCUGUCAAGAUUUGAAGUCCUCAUCCUGAGAAGAUGUUUUCAAACUCCUUCUCAUCUGUCUUUACUGAACUUGUGUUCUCUCUCAUUUUUAUCCCAUUGAUUUUUCUUUUUCCUUCGGUAGUAUCUUUCAAAAUUUAUUAUUUAUGCGUACCCUUAUUUGCAUAGUUAGAGGAACAGUUAUUUCACCUCUUUAUUUCACAGUAUUAUUCCCAAACCUGUAUAAUUUAUCUGAAAUUAUUUUUCUUUUCUUUCAUUUUGCUAAAAUAUUAAGUAGCAUAGAGCUAUGACCUAGCCCUAGAGGAUAUUUUCUAGAAAUAUUGCUGCCUCUUUGUUUCCACUUAUCUUUUAAAACCUAUCGAAGAACUAACUUUCUCACUUAAAGUGUGUGAAGCUGGGUUUGGUUUCACUCCCAUUACUUACGUGACUCGAAGUUGAAAGUCAUAGAAAAAUUCAGGAUCGUUAUUUCAGUGCUGCCGCCUUUAUCAGCUAAACUAAUAUAUUUUAAGAAAUAAUCAGUAUUGUUUGA